UGGGGAAGUCAAUUUUCGGCAAUUGGAUUUAUACAUCGCUAGAGUUAAAAGGCUGUAAUGAUUCAAGUUAACCCGCCAUCAUAAAUCAGAAACCCCUUAGACUCCACAGUAUUUGGUAGAUCGAUCACUUUGAGCACUUAGGUACAAACAAGCAACAUCUAUAUACGUAGAUAUCAAAAGAACCGACGAAACAGCCUUGCAGAUGAAUCGCGAACCCCAGAAGGUAGCAUCCUCACCGGAUGAGAAGACUCCUCUCUACUUUUUUCUAUAAUGGAGAACAUUUGAUCAUAAACCCAACAAACGAACGGAUUGAGAGAAUCUCAUGAUAAUGCGCUGAUGAUAAUGGUUCACGUUCAUCAACUACAUGGUCUAGAUGCUGCAGUUGGGUUUAAACAUCAAGUUGUGAGCAAGAGCAACUCAGAUAGGUUAUAUAUGGCACGGAGCGAAGGCGAGCUGUUAGGAAUGUUACCUAGGCAUGCUGUAUAUGUGAAUUGUGCGAGACGGAAUUCGAGGAACCUGCAGAUGUUGGAAUUUGCAAGUGAUGACAGUAGCAUUCCAGUUAGACGUUCAAACUGUGUUAACUUGAAGAGCAAAGAAACGCAUGAAAUUGGGGUUGUCUGUCGUAGCCCGUAGCAAUGAACGAAACCAAUGUUCGGUAGCAAAUAGAAUGAAAUGAAACGUCAUAAUCCCAGCUCAGGAAGGACCUUCAUAUGUUACUAAAGUAGGCUUUGAAUUGAUACAAACAAUUCCACUUUUGCUGCGUAUCAAAGAGAUGGCUAACAGAUAAAACACUAGGAAUAUUGCAUAAGAUAACAGCUCUGUUUUCAGCACAACUGAAGUACAAUAGUUGGAGAUUGUUUGGUGACCCUGAGUAACAUAAUAACUAUAGGGGCCAAUCAUUAGCUACGCCAUUCUUUGGGAAAUUUGGAGUGAGCGCAAAUGCUAGGGCCUUCGGUGGUCGCGCUAAGGAAGAGAAUGGAGUGAUUUUUCUUGUAAAACAAACUGUAAUUCUCUGGAGAGAGGAGGAUACAUUAAAAAAUUUAGAUGUAAACCAAAUUCUUUUCAAGU
Long non-coding RNA from Papaver somniferum (opium poppy), 1068 nucleotides. RefSeq lists it as uncharacterized. The record is from RefSeq and is a predicted model, not a curated record. The transcript has 5 exons. NCBI's taxonomy places the organism in Eukaryota, Viridiplantae, Streptophyta, Magnoliopsida, Ranunculales, Papaveraceae.